GUAGCUGCAGGGUAACAUGUGGAUACCCUGUGUGCUCUACUGGCCUCCAAAGGCAUUCAGGGGAUCAUCAAAGAUGUUGGACACCUUGUGUUCAAAUCUUGGUUCAGGUGCGGCCUGUGCAGAUCGGCUUUUUGGUUUGGUUGUCUUAGCCUGGAUACCAGAGGAGAAGAUGUCAUCCAUAUCAUCAUCAAAUAUAGACUUGGCUUCCACUUUCUUUUUG
This 220-nucleotide long non-coding RNA is filed under the name Homo sapiens (human). RNAcentral describes it as "LNC_000531". The record is from RNAcentral. Lineage: Eukaryota; Metazoa; Chordata; Mammalia; Primates; Hominidae.